CCUACGGGAGGCAGCAGUGAGGAAUAUUGGUCAAUGGGCGGGAGCCUGAACCAGCCAAGUCGCGUGAGGGAAGACGGUCCUAUGGAUUGUAAACCUCUUUAGGCGGGGAGCAAUGCCGGGCACGUGUGCCCGGGGGGAGAGUACCCGCAGAAUAAGCAUCGGCUAACUCCGUGCCAGCAGCGGCGGUAAUACGGAGGAUGCGAGCGUUAUCCGGUUUUAUUGGGUUUAAAGGGUGCGUAGGCGGAUUUUUAAGUCAGCGGUAAAAUGUGCGGGCUCAACCCGGGCCGGCCGUUGAAACUGGGGAGCUUGAGUGGGCGAGAAGUAUGCGGAAUGCGUGGUGUAGCGGUGAAAUGCAUAGAUAUCACGCAGAACUCCGAUUGCGAAGGCAGCAUACCGGCGCCCGACUGACGCUGAGGCACGAAAGCGUGGGGAUCGAACAGGAUUAGAUACCCCUGUAGUC
This 460-nucleotide ribosomal RNA is filed under the name uncultured bacterium. RNAcentral's name for it is "partial 16S ribosomal RNA". It matches the Rfam family "Bacterial small subunit ribosomal RNA", at positions 338 to 795 of the family's 1533-position model. The record is from RNAcentral.